This 328-nucleotide ribosomal RNA is filed under the name uncultured eukaryote. RNAcentral's name for it is "partial 18S ribosomal RNA". It matches the Rfam family "Eukaryotic small subunit ribosomal RNA", at positions 1470 to 1796 of the family's 1831-position model. The record is from RNAcentral.
CCCUUAGAUGUCCUAGGCCGCACGCGCGUUACACUGAUGCAUUCAACGAGCUUAUAACCUUGGCCGAGAGGCCUGGGCAAUCUUGUUAACGUGCAUCGUGAUAGGGAUAGAUUAUUGAAAUUAUUAAUCUUGAACGAGGAAUUCCUAGUAAACGCAGAUCAUCAAUCUGCAUUGAUUACGUCCCUGCCCUUUGUACACACCGCCCGUCGCACCUACCGAUUGGAUGGUCCGGUGAAGCCUCGGGAUUGUGGUUCUUGCCGCUUUAUUGUGGCGUGACCGCGAGAACUUGUCUAAACCUUAUCAUCUAGAGGAAGGUGAAGUCGUAACA